GCUCUGAAGAUUCUCAGCUUCUAUUGUAUCUGCAAGGUGGCUUUAGUGCAGUGCAUCUCCCCGCGUGUGCAGCUCCACACUCAGUGUGCUUGUGUUGUAACCUCGCAUUAGGCCGCACCGGAAGCAGUUACACGGGGGAAAUCAGCAGGCGCUAGGAAUCAAGGCUGGUCCUCUCCCUCCUCCCAGCUGGCGAACAAACAUGGAUAGCACAGCACGGGUUACUUCUUUACUUCUUGAAAUUCCCUGGCAGUUUUAAAAUAUCAUUUAGAUUAAACCCGAGAGUGGAAGAGCCUGGGGAGACGGAAACGAGAGUCAUACACUCACAAUGGCCCCCCUGGGAGAACAGCAGCACUGUGCUCUGAAGGAAGCAGCGCCCUCCAGUGAUGGCGCCUGGCGCAUCCGUGGGCCGGGUAAUGAAUGCUUGUGAAAUAUUUCACAAGCAUCAAGUGCUGCAUCAAUGCUGAGACAUAAUGGUGCCAUUAUGGCAGGACAGGACGCUUCAUUACACACCCUGGCAGUGGGGAUUCUCACGUGGGAGACGUUUGCUGAGUCUUGGCAUUCCAUCAGGCCCUGCGCUGCCACGGUGAGGGCCACAGGUGUAUGAGGGGCUGCACCAGCGUUAGCAGGCAGAACGAGAGGCUAUCAGUGCACCUCGCCUCCCCAUUUCCUCUCCACCCCUGAGAGAGACCAGCCCGCCAGAGAGCUGCAGCCCCCAUGGAUUCUCUGCAAAGCUGUGCGCACUGGGAGUUUCCCUCUGCGUGGCCACCUCCACUCUCACACUCUGGUCCCGCAACCCCAGCCAUGAUGCUUCAAAGAAUAUACAGAUGCUUCCGGCCCUGGAAGUGCUUCUGGAGGUCCCUGCCCCACCGUGAAUGUGUAAAAAUGGAGACCUGGACAGGAUCCAGAAGCAUUUUACAUAAAGUGUGUUCAGGGAGCACAUUAAUCCCUGGAGUUACUUGUGAGAAAAGGAUGCAUGAGAAAUGGCUGCUUUGCCAGAGCCCAAACAGCAUGAAAUGAGCUGGCGAAACGCCAGGACAGUCACAUCAGAGUCCCGGCAAAGGGCCAGGCAGGGCCUCCAGCUCUGGAGCUGACCCUUGUGAUGAGGAUGCCGGGGUAACUGCAAACUGCGCUGUGCACUUAGUGGCGGCGUGGUCCGGAGUCUUUCAGAGAUGGCUGUGAGGCCACAUCCCCGUGUCACAACCCGCUGUUCCCAACUUCUCUGCCCAUCCUUGGAUCCGCGGGGACAAUCACGAUGGCCGAGGUGUGAGGAUGCGUGUGUCACGCCUCCUGCUUCGCGCUCCUGGCCCUUCUCAGAACUCGUCUCAUUCCCUCCCUGUCCCGCC
Molecule: long non-coding RNA, 1343 nt
Filed under: Fukomys damarensis (Damara mole-rat)
Lineage: Eukaryota; Metazoa; Chordata; Mammalia; Rodentia; Bathyergidae
Description: lncRNA (ENSFDAG00000030017.1)
Source: RNAcentral